Molecule: ribosomal RNA, 1343 nt
Filed under: uncultured bacterium
Lineage: Bacteria
Description: 16S ribosomal RNA
Rfam family: Bacterial small subunit ribosomal RNA
Source: RNAcentral
GACGAACGCUGGCGGCGUGCUUAACACAUGCAAGUCGAACGGAAAGGCCCUGCUUUUGUGGGGUGCUCGAGUGGCGAACGGGUGAGUAACACGUGAGUAACCUGCCCUUGACUUUGGGAUAACUUCAGGAAACUGGGGCUAAUACCGGAUAGGAGCUCCUGCUGCAUGGUGGGGGUUGGAAAGUUUCGGCGGUUGGGGAUGGACUCGCGGCUUAUUAGCUUGUUGGUGGGGUAGUGGCUUACCAAGGCUUUGACGGGUAGCCGGCCUGAGAGGGUGACCGGCCACAUUGGGACUGAGAUACGGCCCAGACUCCUACGGGAGGCAGCAGUGGGGAAUAUUGCACAAUGGGCGGAGGCCUGAUGCAGCAACGCCGCGUGCGGGAUGACGGCCUUCGGGUUGUAAACCGCUUUCGCCUGUGACGAAGCGUGAGUGACGGUAAUGGGUAAAGAAGCACCGGCUAACUACGUGCCAGCAGCCGCGGUGAUACGUAGGGUGCGAGCGUUGUCCGGAUUUAUUGGGCGUAAAGGGCUCGUAGGUGGUUGAUCGCGUCGGAAGUGUAAUCUUGGGGCUUAACCCUGAGCGUGCUUUCGAUACGGGUUGACUUGAGGAAGGUAGGGGAGAAUGGAAUUCCUGGUGGAGCGGUGGAAUGCGCAGAUAUCAGGAGGAACACCAGUGGCGAAGGCGGUUCUCUGGGCCUUUCCUGACGCUGAGGAGCGAAAGCGUGGGGAGCGAACAGGCUUAGAUACCCUGGUAGUCCACGCUGUAAACGGUGGGUACUAGGUGUGGGGUCCAUUCCACGGGUUCCGUGCCGUAGCUAACGCUUUAAGUACCCCGCCUGGGGAGUACGGCCGCAAGGCUAAAACUCAAAGGAAUUGACGGGGCCCCGCACAAGCGGCGGAGCAUGCGGAUUAAUUCGAUGCAACGCGUAGAACCUUACCUGGGUUUGACAUGGAUCGGGAGUGCUCAGAGAUGGGUGUGCCUCUUUUGGGGUCGGUUCACAGGUGGUGCAUGGCUGUCGUCAGCUCGUGUCGUGAGAUGUUGGGUUAAGUCCCGCAACGAGCGCAACCCUUGUUCACUGUUGCCAGCACGUUAUGGUGGGGACUCAGUGGAGACCGCCGGGGUCAACUCGGAGGAAGGUGGGGAUGACGUCAAGUCAUCAUGCCCCUUAUGUCCAGGGCUUCACGCAUGCUACAAUGGCUGGUACAGAGAGUGGCGAGCCUGUGAGGGUGAGCGAAUCUCGGAAAGCCGGUCUCAGUUCGGAUUGGGGUCUGCAACUCGACCUCAUGAAGUCGGAGUCGCUAGUAAUCGCAGAACAGCAACGCUGCGGUGAACACGUUCCCGGG